Long non-coding RNA from Argiope bruennichi, 714 nucleotides. RefSeq lists it as uncharacterized. Lineage: Eukaryota; Metazoa; Arthropoda; Arachnida; Araneae; Araneidae. The transcript is spliced from 3 exons. The record is from RefSeq and is a predicted model, not a curated record.
UGGCGUUUUCACUGCACAGGUUUAACGUUAAACACCAGAGUGCGCUUUUAAAAAUUGAAUGCAAAAUGAAUUUCAUAUAUUGAUCAUUGGAAAUCCUCUUUUUACUACCGCACCUGCCUCUUAAAUAUGAUAACAUUUUAUAUUUGGUCGCAAAUUCAAGAUUACAGUUAGCAUUACAUUUAUACGUUGAUGGAUACUUUAGAACUUUUUGUAAAAAUUGUCUGUGUUGCAACAAAAUAAAGAAUUCGGUCUUUCUAUUGCAUCGUACUACAUUAUCGUACUAAUUUUUAUUAACAAAGUAAUUAAAGGAUGAAGUCCAUCAUUUUACUUCUUUUCAUCGGUAUUUCAAUAGUCACAGCCAUGCAUUGCCCUGAGAAUUUCUGCUUAAAUUCCUCAUGUCAGAAACGAACAUGUGGUCCCGACGAAAAACUUUAUAGAAAUGGGAAUUGUGAUUGUUGUGGCAAAUGUAUUCAAUUAAAAAAGGAAGGAUCUCCUUGCAAAGUCCACGAGGUUUUGAAUUUUAGAAUGGCACCAGCUGACAUGAAGUUUAUGAAUUCUGACUGUGAUGAGGGACUUAGCUGCAAAUUUAAUAAAUGCACCAAAGACUAAAUACUCUCUUGUAAAUAUCAUUAGAGUGUACUUCAGUGUUAUGUAAUGAAGUUGUUUUAUUUUAUUUGCUAUUACUACGCAUCCAUUAAAUUAUCUGAUAUUUUA